RNAcentral lists this ribosomal RNA (321 nucleotides) under uncultured Cortinarius. RNAcentral's name for it is "eukaryotic LSU rRNA". The stretch from base 1 to 71 matches the Rfam family "5.8S ribosomal RNA", at positions 84 to 154 of the family's 154-position model. Lineage: Eukaryota; Fungi; Basidiomycota; Agaricomycetes; Agaricales; Cortinariaceae. The record is from RNAcentral.
GUGAGUCAUCGAAUCUUUGAACGCACCUUGCGCUCCUUGGUAUUCCGAGGAGCAUGCCUGUUUGAGUGUCAUUAAUAUAUAUUAUCAACCAUUUCUCUUGUUGAAGUGGUUGGAUGUGGGGGUUUGCUGGCCUUGUUAAAGGGUUCAGCUCUCCUGAAAUGCAUUAGCAGAACAGCCCUGUUCAUUGGUGUGAUAACUAUCUACGCUAUUGAAUGUGACGGGAAGUUCAGCUUUCUAACAGUCCUUGGACAAUUCAUCAUUAAUGUGACCUCAAAUCAGGUAGGACUACCCGCUGAACUUAAGCAUAUCAAUAAGCGGAGG